ACUCCUAGUCCUACAUCUCUCGCAUUCAUUGAUCCAUUGAAGUACAUCUUUCACUCUUAAAUCUCGAUUUCCCCUAGACUUUCAUCAGCAAACCCUAAACCGUAUGAGUGGUCUCCCUCGAUUGCAUUUUGAGCCAAAAAUUAUGCUACAGCCCUACCCUUGACUACCUUCUUGGUAACGUACUCGAUGUCAAACUCUGUUAGGAGCACUAACAUCUAGCCAGCUUUCCUAUAAGAAACGGAGCUUUAAAUAGAUAAUUCAGUACGUCUAUUUCU
This 275-nucleotide long non-coding RNA is filed under the name Ricinus communis (castor bean). Its description in RNAcentral is "long non-coding RNA (RCOM_LNC002708)". Lineage: Eukaryota; Viridiplantae; Streptophyta; Magnoliopsida; Malpighiales; Euphorbiaceae. The record is from RNAcentral.